RNAcentral lists this ribosomal RNA (1067 nucleotides) under uncultured organism. Its description in RNAcentral is "bacterial SSU rRNA". It matches the Rfam family "Bacterial small subunit ribosomal RNA", at positions 45 to 1123 of the family's 1533-position model. The record is from RNAcentral.
UGCUUAACACAUGCAAGUCGAACGGGAGCCUUUGGAUCCGUCUGAAGGGGAGAGUGGCGAACGGGUGAGUACCACGUGGGUGACCUGCCUCGAAGACGGGGAUAACCACUGGAAACGGUGGCUAAUACCCGAUGGUCUCGAUAAUCCGGUCUAUCGAGUAAAGGCUCCGGCGCUUUGAGAGGGACCUGCAGUCCAUCAGCUACUUGGUAGGGUAAUGGCCUAGCAAGGCCAAGACGGGUAGGGGGCGUGAGAGCGUGAGCCCCCACACUGGCACUGGGACACGGGCCAGACUCCUACGGGAGGCAGCAGUGAGGAAUAUUGCGCAAUGAGCGAAAGCUAGACGCAGCAACGCCGCGUGCGGUGAUCGAAGGCCUUCGGGUCGCAAAACCCUUUUCUGGGGUGAACAGUAACGACGGUACCCCAAGAAUAAGCCUCGGCUAACUAUGUGCCAGCAGCCGCGGUAAUACAUAGGAGGCAAGCGUUAUCCGGAUUUACUGGGCGUAAAGAGCGUUGAGGCGGCUUCGUAAGUUGGACGUGACAGCUCCCGGCUUAACUGGGAGAGGCCGUUCAAUACUGCGGGGCUUGAGGACAGCAGAGGGGGGUGGACUUUCCGGUGUAGUGGUGAAAUGCGUAGAUAUCGGAAGGAACACCAUUGGCGAAUGCGGCCCCCUGGGCUGCUCCUGACGCUGAAGGCGAAAGCUAGGGUAGCGAACGGGAUUAGAAACCCCGGUAGUCCUAGCCGUUAACGAUGGAUACUAGGUGUAGGAGCUUAAAAUUCCUUCUGUGCCGGAGCUAACGCGUUAAGGAUCCCGCCUGGGGAGUACGGUCGCAAGGCUAAAACUCAAAGGAAUUGACGGGGGCCCGCACAAGCAGCGGAGCGUGUGGUUUAAUUCGAUGCUACGCGGAGAACCUUACCAGGGCUUGACAUGUAGGUAGUAGUGAAGCGUAAGCGGAACGAUCCUUCGGGAAGCCUACACAGGUGCUGCUAUGGCUGUCGUCAAGCUCGUGCCGUGAGGUGUUAGGUUAAGUCCUGUGACGAGCGCAACCCCUGCCGUUAGUUACAAGUG